RNAcentral lists this unclassified non-coding RNA (335 nucleotides) under soil metagenome. Its description in RNAcentral is "partial contains 5.8S ribosomal RNA, internal transcribed spacer 2, and large subunit ribosomal RNA". The stretch from base 1 to 120 matches the Rfam family "5.8S ribosomal RNA", at positions 35 to 154 of the family's 154-position model. The record is from RNAcentral.
GAUGAAGAACGUAGCGAAAUGCUAUAAGUAAUGUGAAUUGCAGAAUUCAGUGAAUCAUCGAAUCUUUGAACGCACAUUGCGCCCAUUAGUAUUCUAGUGGGCAUGCCUGUUCGAGCGUCAUUUCAACCCUUAAGCCUAGCUUAGUAUUGGGAAUCGACUUUACUGUCGUUCCUCAAAUUCAACGGCGGAUUUAUAGCAAUCUCUGAACGUAGUAAUUUUUUUCCUCGUUUUUGAAAUACUAUAAACCUCAGCCGCUAAACCCCCAAUUUUUCUAUGGUUGACCUCGGAUCAGGUAGGAAUACCCGCUGAACUUAAGCAUAUCAAUAAGCGGAGGA